Long non-coding RNA from Apteryx owenii (little spotted kiwi), 1932 nucleotides. Lineage: Eukaryota; Metazoa; Chordata; Aves; Apterygiformes; Apterygidae. The record is from Ensembl.
CUUAAUUUGAUUUGUAUUUUCACUCAGUUUUCCUCAUUUUCUGAAGGGAAAAAAGCUUAUAUAACUGCACUAUCCCUUUUUGUGUGUUCUCUUGAUUGUCCUAAUAAACUUACCAAUUUUAAUCAAAAUUUGACAGAUAAUUAAGUUCCUACACUUUUUUUUCCUCUCAGACUGGUGACCAGGUGGAAGAGAUACUAUAACUACAUUAACUGAAUUAAACUUAAGUAUUUAGAAGCCUUAUCACUUGGAGCAGAGAGAAGGGCUGCAAAUAAAGGAAAAAAAUGCCCAGUAAUCUAGACAGUAUCCUUCCAGCACUUUUCCAACAUGUUUUGUACACCUGAGGGAGACUAACCAGUCUCUUCCGAAGACAGGCAGACUGCCUGGAUCCUGUACACCUCUCCCGGGCUCAACAGUGUUCAGCUGUGUCCCUUAGCUGGAAGAACCACUUCAUUCUGCUUCCAGCAGAGCAACGAAAAUAGAACAAGAUUCUCUUCAUCACUUUGUUGGCCCAUCCAGACUUGGAGGUGAUCUGCCAAAAAAGUGGAGUUUACAAGAAGUGCCGAAGCCAUCCUCUCUGAUCACCCGUCCCCUCCCCCCAACCCUUUGGCCGCCCAAGAAGGCAACGUGAUUUAAUCUGCAGGCGAUCUCUGUACCGGAUCCCCAGCACGGUCCGUGCUGCUGGCUGCAUGGCUGCCUCGGCAUCUCCCGCGGGCAAUUGGUAGCAUGUAGCCGCUGGCAUCUUCUCCUGGCAGAAGCUCAACCAUUUGAAGAGACGGGGAGGAAAAAAAUCCCGGUCAGGAUGUUUGCGCACGCUGUCGGCUGCCUCCUUGCCGGGGUACUCUGCUGAAGGAUCGGGACAUCUGCGCGGAGGCAGGCAGGCAGGCGGCCGCUGUAGCUCGCCCCGUUGGGGCCGCAGUUCCCCCGRCGCUGCGGGUGCUGAGUGGGGGCGACGCACUCGGAGCAGGCAGGGACAGGCUCGGUUAAAGUCUUCCAAGGCUCAUGGCCUCUGGCAUAGGCAAGGUUCCUCAGCCCGGGACUUGUGGCGGCUCUGGCGGCGCUCRCAGCAGCUCGGCAGGGAAAUGCAGCCAGGAGAUUCGUGUGAAAAUGUGCAAGAAGAUUGCCCAGCUCACCAAGACUCUAGCUUUGCAAGUGCUGACCAGGAUGAAGAAGUCAUAGUAGCCAGUACACUAAGAAAAGACUGGACCUGAGCGUGGAACUCUUCUAAUGAGAAUGGUCUUCACUGCAAACCUGAAAUUUUAGCAAAGUUUGUCAGUCACGAACUACGUAAAAAGUUUUAAAGACCUAGUAAGAUUAGUGAGUUUGUGUGAGACCUGCCUAGGCCUUCAGGAUUUUGACCUUAAAAUCAGAUAACAUUGCAUCUAUUUCCAGCUGAACUAUGCUUUGAGUUUUCAGAAGAAAACUUGUAAGAUCUAUGAACUUACAGAAAAUGAUUCAGAAAAGUUCAUCUUGCAAAUGGAAAUGUCUGUCUGUAGCCGUGACUCACAACAGAUACAAAUAAUACAGCUCAGAUAUUUUUCUGCAACCCUAGUGCGUUCAAAUCAAUAGGGACUUGAAGUUAGUGCAUUUUUCUGAUUGUAGCAGAAUGCAUGACUUUUUUACUUGUAAUUAAGUUUAGUCUUCUCUAUCAGAAAUUUCAACUUUGGCACACUAGGUUUCGUGCUUGCCAAUUCUUUGUAUUUCUGAUCUGUUUAGCUGUUUUAAAUGCAUGGCAAUUCUUAUUAGAAACUUUGGGCUCACUGCUGUCUCAUGCUAUGGGUUUUUAUCAUCCACUGGGUAUUAUAGGAUUUUCAAGUGCUUAUUGAUUCUCAGGACAGUCCUUUUCACUUGAGAUAGGAUGAGAAAUGCAAAUGAAUUCUCAGAGAAGAGUGCUGAGGAGAGUGAAUCAGCUUUCAUUUAAGAGGCAGUUCUGGC